Long non-coding RNA from Gossypium raimondii (Peruvian cotton), 1338 nucleotides. RefSeq lists it as uncharacterized. The record is from RefSeq and is a predicted model, not a curated record. The transcript has 2 exons. NCBI's taxonomy places the organism in Eukaryota, Viridiplantae, Streptophyta, Magnoliopsida, Malvales, Malvaceae.
ACAAUCAAAUCUCAACCAGCCGAAUCCUAUCAAAAUCCCCGCCUUUUCUAAUUCUUUCUUCACUUUCUCAAUAGCAUCUCUCUAUGAUCCUCGGUGUUAAUAUAUAAAACAAUAACACAAGGAAGGAUACGAAAAGAUGCAAUAUCGAAGGUACUUCUGGACAUGCAGUUUCCAAUCUAUGGAUUCUCGCAUUUUCUCGUAAGUUCCACAGUUUUUAAAUUUAUUUAUUUUUGCUCAAUGAUGAUUGAUUUGCUUUAACCACACUGAAAAUAGAGAUCUUGGAGUUUGGAUUUUUCGAAGCCUUUUUCUCUAUGGUUUAAGGCGAAUUGCUAAGCUUUUUGUGUUUGAUUGUGGCUUCAUGAUUCUGUUUUCUAAGGGUUGAGGUUAAUGUUCCUUUUGUUACAUAUCCUCUUCUUUUAGAUUAUGGAAGAAAGCUUUUUGUCAAACACUUGGAAGUUUUUGGUUUUUUUGUUGGUCUUAAAAUUUAGAGAGGAAGAAAAACCCUUGCUUCAUUUGAUCUCUGAUGUGGAAAACAUUGGCCUUUCAACUGAGAGCAAUUAAUCGCUUCAUCUUUUUUUUUUUUUUAUCCUAAGAAUUUUUGUGUUUCUGAUUUGGGCAUUUUUAGUUAUUUAAUCUUUGAUGGUUUUGGCUUCCAAAAAGUGUUCCUUGAUAGAAUAAAGCAUUUUGUUUUGAGAAAUUGAUGGAAAUUGGGAAAUGAUGACAGCUUAAUUGCUGGAUGGUAUCUGAGCAAAGCUUUGAAGAUUUUUUUUUCCUUUUGCACGUCAGUCUGAUUCCAACCUCCAAAACUUUCAUCUCUAACGUUAAAAGGAAAAAAAGAACAGGGGAAUGGGCUUACCGGUUAACAAAUAUCUAGGAUUCAGGGGACGAUGACGAUAACAUGCAUAGUUCUUUUAAUUGUGGUGCUUCUAACUAUGUUCAGAGAUCUAAAAGCUUUGCAUUUAGAGGUCCUGGAGAGAAUUUUAGUAUCCAGGAUUUUGAAUUAGGUAAUAUCUGUGGGCGUUGGUUCUUCCUCAAAGUGGACCAAGGUGUUUAGUGAUAAUUGAAUGGCAGAUGCGUCGCAUGUUCUUUCCUAAUUUCACACUGCUUAAGAAAUAGGUAAUCAUAUGAAUCCCAGUCCUCCAUAUCGCUUCACUAAUGCAGCCUUUUCUGAUUGUGUGCUUCCAUAUGAAUCUUGUUCUGCAGCUACUUUGCUUUUGAUCAUAUUGUUAUAUUGCUGCAUAAAUUUUAAUAUAAUUUAUCCGAUGAGAUAAUGGCAAGAUUUACCCAUGUACUUCCAUAAAUUUGUCAAUGUAGUAUCUAUACAUUUAAUUUUUCCAA